Molecule: long non-coding RNA, 4141 nt
Filed under: Helianthus annuus (common sunflower)
Lineage: Eukaryota; Viridiplantae; Streptophyta; Magnoliopsida; Asterales; Asteraceae
Description: hypothetical non coding rna
Source: RNAcentral
UCUAUAGCUAUAUUUUAUAAUAUUUGCAACAAACUCAUCGGAGAAAUCGGGAUGUCAAUCCUUUGUGUAUUCCGUAUGUUUUGACAAAUAUUUAAAACCCUUGAACCGUCAAUCGCUUUUCACAAAUCUUUCUCUCAAACAUGUUGCUUCCGUGCUAAGAAGUUCCGGCGGAAACCUUACCCCCUACGUGCACCUUUGCCAGUCGUCUGCAACUGUCGAUGUCACCACCAUCGUCAAUCCAAACCAGUCAGAGCCACGCUACGGGUACCAGUUGCCUCACUCCGCCGUGACCGCCUCGCCGCACAACCACCGGGAUCCCCGCCACACCUAGUUCGAAGCUUGUGAUUAGCGUCUCCGACUCACGAACUACGACCAUCUCUAUUCAUUGUCUGCUAUAAUCACACGCCGUCGCACCCCCGCCGUCUGCCGCCAUUGGUUUAGUCGCCUGAGAUCUCCGAUUCACGAACAGCCACCACACCCCUCACGUUCGAUCGAUCGCGACCGUUAUAGUAGCUUCUUUCUCGUCUCUCUGUGACGCAGCCACCAUCGUCGCCACUUGAAACCGAUCCGACUCACCGAAGUCCUGCACAAUCUUUGAUUCAGUUCCGUCGAUACCGAUCCUAGUCUGAUACGCGGUAUUUAUAUUCAUCUAUUGUCUUUCUGCUCUUGUAUAUAGUCAAAGAAGAAAUAUGGGUGUGAAUAAUCUUUAUGCAUAGUGUAUAUGUUGAAGAAGAUAGAGUAAAUAUGAGUAAAAUGUUAUAUAUGUUUGUUUUAAUAGGCAUACACUAAACAUGCACACAACUCUUAGCUUUCUUUUGGUCUCUAAAUAUAUAUACUAUGUUAUUCAAAUUCUAAGUAUUGGAAUAUGAUGUCAAUUGAAUUUACGUUUACUUUUAGAAUCAUAAAUAAAUCGGUGAUUCAGAGAACUAUGCCAUAUUCAUUUAGUAGUAUUUUAUGAAACCAUUGAAUAUAAUUAUUAUUUGAGUAAAGGAAUUUAUAUUACAAUUUGAUUUAUCCACCAAAUACUAUUUUAAACUGUUUAUCAUGAAAUCACUUGUAAUCAUUCUAUCUUUGUAUAUAGAUGACGAAUAAAAUAUAUCCUACUUUUGCCAAAGCAUAAGGAAAACUUAUAUAAAUUCUUACGUUUGAAAGAGAAAUACCAAUUAAAAGGAUAAUAAUGAAAUAAAUGUAACUUGGAACAUAAAUUUAUUGUAGGGUGUCGUGACGUUUGAGUCAAGCUUAGGUCUCGUCACGAUUUUCGCUGUCAAUGUACGGAUUCCUUUUCUUGACAUCAUAGUAUUUUUAUUCAAGUCCGUUAUUUUGUAGUACGGUUGUUUUCGCUGGUUGUUUCUGUUUCGUAAUUAGUAUAUAUUGUAGCAUGCAAUAGACUUUAUACUUUGUGCUCGUUAUUGCAUGUUCCCUCUAAACUUAUGUCAAAAUAUAUUUUAUUUCUGAUACGGCUUUGUACUCUGUCACCCGAGCGCUUCUGACUUGUCGUUGGGGCGUCAACGACAUGGCACUCAUCGUGACGGUGCGUAACUAAAGUUCACGGCGUUUCUAGUUUGUGCUUGUGUAGCACAUGGCCCCUAGAGGCGAAUAGAUCGAUCUUAGCUCUGACUCCUGACUCCUGACUCCUGACUCCUGUUGAGAUGGAAUAAUGUUUGUACGCCUACAUGCACCAUCUCGGCACAUGGACUAGUGCCAUGUAUGCCUCAGUUUAGGCUCGUGGGUGCUUCUAUAUUACGUGACUUGUUUUAUUGUUAUAUGUUGUCACGUAAUUUGGGGAACGUGGGGAAUAAGUGAAGAGUGUUCUGAAGAUAAAUAUUUUUUUUAUUUCGGUAAUGUAAUGAAAAAGUAAUUAGGAUCCUUUGUUUUCAACGUUAUGGAUUGGUUUUAGUUUUGAUAUCUGUAUGAGUGACACGUCAGCCUGUCUAGGUUGGGGUGUUACAAUUAUGGUAUCAGAGCCAAGGCUCUUUCCUGUAGAAAACUUAAACCUUAAAAACUAAACGUGUGAGGUUAUGGGUAGACGUUGAGUUAGGAUUUCAACUUCUGAUCAAUUUUCGUACUCGUUAGUUUGUUGUCUUUUUUGUCCUGGUGUUCGCUUUAGUAUUUGUUUUUAGAACUAUUGCUAAAUUUGUUUAUCGCCAUACUAGCUUUCUUUACAAUUUUAAUAGGUCAUUGAGAUGCGUGAUAAUAGGACCGUUAGGACACUUAUGUAAGGUAAUUGACAAUUAUGGUCGCGAACAUAAUCGUGAAUUACAGGUACAUAUGUGUGCUUUUGGACUCUUAUUGUGUAGAUUAGUAUGUACCCGAAAUUGUUGUGUCUCAGCAUUCUAAAUCUCACUCUACUUGUUUUGUUAUUUUUGAAUUUGAAUUUAUUUAGUAUGCGUUUGACCGUCUCAGAACUCCACACUUUAGCAUGUUUCAUAUAAAAGUAUACAAUGUUUAAAAUUCAUUUCGUAACUGUUAUAUCUAAAUUUGCUCAUCAUCCAUACUUUAACAAUUUGAGGACAAUUUUUUUUUUUUUUUUUUUUUUGUAGUGGGUAAAUUUGUAAUAUUUGAAGAUAAAGGUUAUAUUUUUUAUAAUAAAACGAAUAAAAAUUCUACAUAGAAUUUGAUGAUCAAUUCUUAGAUUAUUUGUCUAAACUUUUGAUAAUUAAGUGUGUAUGUAUGUUUUAUCUCUUUUAUCUGCUAAGUAUUUGAAGUCCUUGUCUACUGCUUUAGAGUAUCCUCUAGUUUAUCUGCUCCUUUUAGAGAAACUUAUUUUGAUUUGAUUUAGUAUUCGUUUAUUUGCCGUCUCAGAAACUUCGUACCUUAAUAUGUAUGAUGUCUAAAUGUUUGUUAUGUGUUAAGUCUUUUCCGUGUCCGUUAUGAUUGAGAUCGUUCGUAUCCGUGCUUAGCAUUUUCGAGGACGAAAAUUUUUUUUUAGAGGGGAAGAAUUGUAAUAUCUAGAAAUUUGGAUUUAAAAUAAUAAUGAUAAUAUUAAUAUUAAUAUCCAUACUAAUAUAAUAGAUUAAAAAGUCUAUAUGUUAUGGAUAAUCAAAUUUGUGAGAUAAGUAUAAGUUGCUAAAUAAAUAAAUUAAAAAAAAAUGCUAUGCAUAUGAUUUUUGUUGUUACGUAACUGAAUAACAAAAGAGUAUGAGAUAUAAUAUUGAUUAAGCACACUUCACAACCAUCUUUCAAAAUUACAGUUUCGAAGUCCGAUAUUGCGGCAACCUUUUUCUUUAUCUCUAUAGCUAUAUUUUAUAAUAUUUGCAACAAACUCAUCGGAGAAAUCGGGAUGUCAAUCCUUUGUGUAUUCCGUAUGUUUUGACAAAUAUUUAAAACCCUUGAACCGUCAAUCGCUUUUCACAAAUCUUUCUCUCAAACAUGUUGCUUCCGUGCUAAGAAGUUCCGGCGGAAACCUUACCCCCUACGUGCACCUUUGCCAGUCGUCUGCAACUGUCGAUGUCACCACCAUCGUCAAUCCAAACCAGUCAGAGCCACGCUACGGGUACCAGUUGCCUCACUCCGCCGUGACCGCCUCGCCGCACAACCACCGGGAUCCCCGCCACACCUAGUUCGAAGCUUGUGAUUAGCGUCUCCGACUCACGAACUACGACCAUCUCUAUUCAUUGUCUGCUAUAAUCACACGCCGUCGCACCCCCGCCGUCUGCCGCCAUUGGUUUAGUCGCCUGAGAUCUCCGAUUCACGAACAGCCACCACACCCCUCACGUUCGAUCGAUCGCGACCGUUAUAGUAGCUUCUUUCUCGUCUCUCUGUGACGCAGCCACCAUCGUCGCCACUUGAAACCGAUCCGACUCACCGAAGUCCUGCACAAUCUUUGAUUCAGUUCCGUCGAUACCGAUCCUAGUCUGAUACGCGGAUGCUGGAAGAGGAUAUCGCUAACAUCUUGGGUGAUAUCCUGAGAUUCAUUAAUUAACCACGUGCAGAUUAAAGGCUGAGACUUACUAACGGUCAAGAGGACUUCUUCUCCUCAGGACUCGGACGAGUUUGUUGAAGAAGAGACGUUGAGCCCGAAAGACCAGGUCUACAACGUUCGAUGAAGGAAUAUUCGGUGGAUCCCGCAAGUUUAGGAUAGUUAGUUAAUUUAUCUAUACUAUAAAUAGAUGUGGCGGAUCAGUUUAAGGCACACAAUUUU